RNAcentral lists this ribosomal RNA (771 nucleotides) under uncultured bacterium. RNAcentral describes it as "bacterial SSU rRNA". It matches the Rfam family "Bacterial small subunit ribosomal RNA", at positions 8 to 796 of the family's 1533-position model. The record is from RNAcentral.
AGAGUUUGAUCCUGGCUCAGGACGAACGCUGGCGGCGUGCUUAACACAUGCAAGUCGAACGGAAAGGCCCUUCGGGGUACUCGAGUGGCGAACGGGUGAGUAACACGUGGGUGAUCUGCCCUGCACUUUGGGAUAAGCCUGGGAAACUGGGUCUAGUACCGAAUAUGACCAUGCACUUCCUGGUGUGUGGUGGAAAGCUUUUGCGGUGUGGGAUGGGCCCGCGGCCUAUCAGCUUGUUGGUGGGGUAAUGGCCUACCAAGGCGACGACGGGUAGCCGGCCUGAGAGGGUGACCGGCCACACUGGGACUGAGAUACGGCCCAGACUCCUACGGGAGGCAGCAGUGGGGAAUAUUGCACAAUGGGCGCAAGCCUGAUGCAGCGACGCCGCGUGAGGGAUGACGGCCUUCGGGUUGUAAACCUCUUUCAGCACAGACGAAGCGCAAGUGACGGUAUGUGCAGAAGAAGGACCGGCCAACUACGUGCCAGCAGCCGCGGUAAUACGUAGGGUCCGAGCGUUGUCCGGAAUUACUGGGCGUAAAGAGCUCGUAGGUGGUUUGUCGCGUUGUUCGUGAAAACUCACAGCUUAACUGUGGGCGUGCGGGCGAUACGGGCAGACUUGAGUACUGCAGGGGAGACUGGAAUUCCUGGUGUAGCGGUGGAAUGCGCAGAUAUCAGGAGGAACACCGGUGGCGAAGGCGGGUCUCUGGGCAGUAACUGACGCUGAGGAGCGAAAGCGUGGGGAGCGAACAGGAUUAGAUACCCUGGUAGUCC